GAAUUCGAUUGCGGAUCCGCGGCCGCUGAAGAUCUGGUUGAUUCUGCCGGACCCGACUGCUAUCAGAGUGAGAUAAGCCAUGCGAGUCAACAUAGCAAUAUGUGGCAUACGGCUCAGUAACACGUAGUCAACAUGCCCAGGGGACGUGGAUAACCUCGGGAAACUGAGGAUAAACCGCGAUAAGUCACUACUUCUGGAAUGGGUAAUGACUCAAAUCUAUAUGGCCCCUGGAUUGGACUGCGGCCGAUCAGGCUGUUGGUGAGGUAAUGGCCCACCAAACCUGUAACCGGUACGGGCUCUGAGAGGAGGAGCCCGGAGAUGGGCACUGAGACAAGGGCCCAGGCCCUAUGGGGCGCAGCAGGCGCGAAACCUCUGCAAUAGGCGAAAGCUUGACAGGGUUACUCUGAGUGAUUUCCGUUAAGGAAAUCUUUUGGCACCUCUAAAAAUGGUGCAGAAUAAGGGGUGGGCAAGUCUGGUGUCAGCCGCCGCGGUAAUACCAGCACCCCGAGUGGUCGGGACGUUUAUUGGGCCUAAAGCAUCCGUAGCCGGUUCUACAAGUCUUCCGUUAAAUCCAACUGCUUAACAGGUGGGCUGCGGAAGAUACUAUAGAGCUAGGAGGCGGGAGAGGCAAGCGGUACUCGAUGGGUAGGGGUAAAAUCCGUUGAUCCAUUGAAGACCACCAGUGGCGAAGGCGGCUUGCCAGAACGCGCUCGACGGUGAGGGAUGAAAGCUGGGGGAGCAAACCGGAUUAGAUACCCGGGUAGUCCCAGCUGUAAACGAUGCAGACUCGGUGAUGAGUUGGCUUUAUGCCAACUCAGUGCCGCAGGGAAGCCGUUAAGUUUGCCGCCUGGGGAGUACGGUCGCAAGACUGAAACUUAAAGGAAUUGGCGGGGGAGCACCACAAGGGGUGAAGCCUGCGGUUCAAUUGGAGUCAACGCCGGA
This 942-nucleotide ribosomal RNA is filed under the name uncultured archaeon. RNAcentral's name for it is "bacterial SSU rRNA". It matches the Rfam family "Archaeal small subunit ribosomal RNA", at positions 1 to 922 of the family's 1478-position model. The record is from RNAcentral.